AGCGAACGCUGGCGGCAGGCCUAACACAUGCAAGUCUAACGAACUCUUCGGAGUUAGUGGCGGACGGGUGAGUAACACGUGGGAACGUGCCUUUAGGUUCGGAAUAACUCAGGGAAACUUGUGCUAAUACCGAAUGUGCCCUUCGGGGGAAAGAUUUAUCGCCUUUAGAGCGGCCCGCGUCUGAUUAGCUAGUUGGUGAGGUAAAGGCUCACCAAGGCGACGAUCAGUAGCUGGUCUGAGAGGAUGAUCAGCCACAUUGGGACUGAGACACGGCCCAAACUCCUACGGGAGGCAGCAGUGGGGAAUCUUGCGCAAUGGGCGAAAGCCUGACGCAGCCAUGCCGCGUGAAUGAUGAAGGUCUUAGGAUUGUAAAAUUCUUUCACCGGGGACGAUAAUGACGGUACCCGGAGAAGAAGCCCCGGCUAACUUCGUG
RNAcentral lists this ribosomal RNA (433 nucleotides) under uncultured bacterium. Its description in RNAcentral is "partial 16S ribosomal RNA". It matches the Rfam family "Bacterial small subunit ribosomal RNA", at positions 29 to 507 of the family's 1533-position model. The record is from RNAcentral.